Molecule: ribosomal RNA, 254 nt
Filed under: uncultured bacterium
Lineage: Bacteria
Description: partial 16S ribosomal RNA
Rfam family: Bacterial small subunit ribosomal RNA
Source: RNAcentral
GACGUAGGGCGCGAGCGUUGUCCGGAUUUAUUGGGCGUAAAGAGCUCGUAGGCGGCUUGUCGCGUCAACUGUGAAAACCCGUGGCUCAACCAUGUGGUCUGCAGUCGAUACGGGCAGGCUAGAAUUCGGUAGGGGAGACUGGAAUUCCUGGUGUAGCGGUGAAAUGCGCAGAUAUCAGGAGGAACACCGGUGGCGAAGGCGGGUCUCUGGGCCGAUAUUGACGCUGAGGAGCGAAGGCGUGGGGAGCGAACAGG